This 1092-nucleotide ribosomal RNA is filed under the name Halorientalis pallida. Its description in RNAcentral is "bacterial SSU rRNA". It matches the Rfam family "Archaeal small subunit ribosomal RNA", at positions 385 to 1478 of the family's 1478-position model. The record is from RNAcentral. Lineage: Archaea; Methanobacteriati; Methanobacteriota; Halobacteria; Halobacteriales; Haloarculaceae.
GUGCGAGGGCAUACAGUCCUCGCUUUUCUGUACCGUAAGGUGGUACAGGAACAAGUGCUGGGCAAGACCGGUGCCAGCCGCCGCGGUAAUACCGGCAGCACGAGUGAUGGCCGCUCUUAUUGGGCCUAAAGCGUCCGUAGCCGGCCGAGCAAGUUCGUUGGGAAAUCUGCCCGCUUAACGGGCAGGCGUCCGGCGAAAACUGUUCGGCUUGGGGCCGGGAGAUCUGAGGGGUACGUCCGGGGUAGGAGUGAAAUCCCGUAAUCCUGGACGGACCACCGGUGGCGAAAGCGCCUCAGAAAAACGGACCCGACGGUGAGGGACGAAAGCUAGGGUCUCGAACCGGAUUAGAUACCCGGGUAGUCCUAGCCGUAAACGAUGCUCGCUAGGUGUGGCGCAGGCUACGAGCCUGCGCUGUGCCGUAGGGAAGCCGUGAAGCGAGCCGCCUGGGAAGUACGUCUGCAAGGAUGAAACUUAAAGGAAUUGGCGGGGGAGCACUACAACCGGAGGAGCCUGCGGUUUAAUUGGACUCAACGCCGGACAUCUCACCAGCACCGACAGUGUGCAGUGAAGGUCAGGUUGAUGACCUUACUGGAGCCACUGAGAGGAGGUGCAUGGCCGCCGUCAGCUCGUACCGUGAGGCGUCCUGUUAAGUCAGGCAACGAGCGAGACCCGCAUCCCUAGUUGCCAGCAGCAACCUUGUGUUGGCUGGGUACACUAGGGAGACUGCCGCUGCCAAAGCGGAGGAAGGAACGGGCAACGGUAGGUCAGUAUGCCCCGAAUGUGCUGGGCAACACGCGGGCUACAAUGGCCGGGACAGUGGGACGCGACCCCGAGAGGGAGAGCUAAUCUCCUAAACCCGGUCGUAGUUCGGAUUGCGGACUGAAACUCGUCCGCAUGAAGCUGGAUUCGGUAGUAGUCGCGUGUCAUUAGCGCGCGGCGAAUACGUCCCUGCUCCUUGCACACACCGCCCGUCAAAGCACCCGAGUGAGGUCCGGAUGAGGCCACCAUGCGGUGGUCGAAUCUGGGCUUCGCAAGGGGGCUUAAGUCGUAACAAGGUAGCCGUAGGGGAAUCUGCGGCUGGAUCACCUCCUA